GGGUCAGUAGGUUGGUCGUGCCACCGGUACGUACUGGUCUCACUGAUUCCUCCUUCCUGAAGAACCGUAAUGCCAUUAAUUUGGUGUUGCGGGGAAACAGGACUGUUACUUCGUAAAAAUUAGAGUGUUUAAAGCAAGCUAACGCUUGAAUACAUUAGCAUGGAAUAAUGAAAUAGGACGAUCGAUCCUAUUUUGUUGGUUUCUAGGAUUGACGUA
RNAcentral lists this ribosomal RNA (216 nucleotides) under Glomeromycotina sp. RNAcentral's name for it is "partial small subunit ribosomal RNA". The stretch from base 40 to 216 matches the Rfam family "Eukaryotic small subunit ribosomal RNA", at positions 686 to 864 of the family's 1831-position model. Lineage: Eukaryota; Fungi; Glomeromycota. The record is from RNAcentral.